Limulus polyphemus (Atlantic horseshoe crab) is the source of this 333-nucleotide long non-coding RNA. RefSeq lists it as uncharacterized. The record is from RefSeq and is a predicted model, not a curated record. NCBI's taxonomy places the organism in Eukaryota, Metazoa, Arthropoda, Merostomata, Xiphosura, Limulidae. The transcript is spliced from 4 exons.
AUUGCAUCCUUAAGCUCUCUGAAGCUGUUGUAAGUAACCAGAAUAAACUCUACCGUCUCCUAUAUUAUUAAAAAGGAAUACAUUCGCAUCCUUAAACUCUCUGAAGGUGUUAUCACUCCAAAAUAACCGAGUCUCAUUCAUUCACGAGGAAGGUUUCCAUCAGUUAGUCAACCUGAUAGAGCUGAAUCUAUCAAACAACAAGAUAGGAUUUAUCUCAUCUAAUACAUUCUACAGUCUAUGUCAGCUAAGAAAACUGUAAAGAACUCGCUUUCAAUCCAUUGCAAACCUUGAAAACAAAUAUCUUUCAGGACCUCUUCAGACUUAAAACUCUGU